Molecule: small nucleolar RNA, 117 nt
Filed under: Chinchilla lanigera (long-tailed chinchilla)
Lineage: Eukaryota; Metazoa; Chordata; Mammalia; Rodentia; Chinchillidae
Description: Small nucleolar RNA SNORA31 (ENSCLAG00000020523.1)
Rfam family: Small nucleolar RNA SNORA31
About the family: ACA31 (SNORA31) belongs to the H/ACA class of snoRNAs which are thought to guide the sites of modification of uridines to pseudouridines.
Source: Rfam by way of RNAcentral
AAGAAAACCAUCUCAAAUUAAAAUAUAUGAAAUAUUGCACUAGGUUUCUAAAGGAAAUAAUCCCUGUACUUCCUGUCUGUCUUUAUUGUGGCCCAGAUUGAAUUGAGGAAUGUAUCU